AGAAUCAACGCUGGCGGCGUGCCUAACACAUGCAAGUCGAACGAGAAAGUGGAGCAAUCCAUGAGUAAAGUGGCGCACGGGUGAGUAACACGUGACUAACCUACCCUCGAGUGGGGAAUAACUUCGGGAAACCGAGGCUAAUACCGCAUAAAACCUAAGGGUCAAAGGAGCAAUCCGUUUGAGGAGGGGGUCGCGGCAGAUUAGUUAGUUGGCGGGGUAAUGGCCCACCAAGACGAUGAUCUGUAUCCGGCCUGAGAGGGCGCACGGACACACUGGAACUGAAACACGGUCCAGACUCCUACGGGAGGCAGCAGUGGGGAAUUUGCGCAAUGGGGGAAACCCUGACGCAGCAACGCCGCGUGGAGGAUGAAAUCCCUUGGGAUGGUAAACUCCUUUCGAUCGGGAAGAUAAUGACGGUACCGGAAGAGAAGCCCCGGCUAACUUCGUGCCAGCAGCCGC
RNAcentral lists this ribosomal RNA (459 nucleotides) under uncultured bacterium. Its description in RNAcentral is "SSU rRNA". It matches the Rfam family "Bacterial small subunit ribosomal RNA", at positions 26 to 518 of the family's 1533-position model. The record is from RNAcentral.